UCACAUUCGUAGUUUUUACUUUCGAGUUUUCUCCCUUAGGUAGUUUGAUCCUUUAAAUUUUGUGAGCACGUUUUUAGUUUUGGUGUAAGGGAUGUUAUUCAAAUUUUGACUUCGCUUCCGCAUUUGAUAUUUUUAAUAUACAUUCCAUUAUAAAUUUCCGGGGCUGCUACAAUAUGAUUGUGGAAUUGGAAUCUUUUAG
This 199-nucleotide long non-coding RNA is filed under the name Carica papaya (papaya). RNAcentral describes it as "long non-coding RNA (CPAP_LNC016243)". The record is from RNAcentral. Lineage: Eukaryota; Viridiplantae; Streptophyta; Magnoliopsida; Brassicales; Caricaceae.